GACGAACGCUGGCGGCGUGCUUAACACAUGCAAGUCGAACGGUGAAAGCGGAGCUUGCUCCGCUGGAUCAGUGGCGAACGGGUGAGUAACACGUGGGCAACCUGCCCCUCACUUCGGGAUAACUCCGGGAAACCGGGGCUAAUACCGGAUAUGACCUCCUUGGGCAUCCUUGGAGGUGGAAAGUUUUUCGGUGAGGGAUGGGCCCGCGGCCUAUCAGCUUGUUGGUGAGGUAGUGGCUCACCAAGGCGACGACGGGUAGCCGGCCUGAGAGGGCGACCGGCCACACUGGGACUGAGACACGGCCCAGACACCUACGGGAGGCAGCAGUGGGGAAUAUUGCGCAAUGGGCGAAAGCCUGACGCAGCAACGCCGCGUGCGGGAUGACGGCCUUCGGGUUGUAAACCUCUUUUAGCAGGGAAGAAGCGAAAGUGACGGUACCUGCAGAAAAAGCACCGGCUAACUACGUGCCAGCCGCCGCCGUAA
This 483-nucleotide ribosomal RNA is filed under the name uncultured bacterium. RNAcentral describes it as "partial 16S ribosomal RNA". It matches the Rfam family "Bacterial small subunit ribosomal RNA", at positions 28 to 523 of the family's 1533-position model. The record is from RNAcentral.